GCUCAAACUUUGUUUGGUUUGUAUCACGUUGAACAGUCUGAGUCCCACCUCACAUGAGCCUGACAUAUAAAUCUUAGGGUUUGUUGUUUUAAUUUCGGAGUCUGAAAGCAGCAUUUCUACACAGACUCUCCAAGGAGAAGAAAGAGAUCACUGGAGUGCCUAUUUUAGAGUGGACGUCCCUUUCUGAACACAACCUUUCUAACCAAGCAACCUUCCACCUCAGUUGGGUCUAUUUUGGUGAAGCAACUAAACUUUACUUGGUUUAAUGCAGCCAUUGCCGUUUUCCUCGGGUUGACCUCAAUCACUGGAGCAGGACUACAGUGCGUGCUGCAUUUAAUUAUCUACAGUGAAUUUGAUUAUCAGGAAAUAUGGUGCAUAUCAAGUGAAUUCCUGCCCUCUAGAAAUAUUUAUUUUCUGUAUGGUUAAAGUUGGAAAAGGAUGACAUGGGAACUUCAGUCGAUACAAAAGGCGCCAGCUAAUGAGACUGGUUAGUGAUUCAAAUUUAUGGAAAUUUUAUUAAUUACAGAAACCUAUCUUUCAUCCGUACCAUUUGGUUCGUGAAGUAAUUAAAGCCAACAAUGGCUGCUGCUGCAGUUAAGGAACCAAACAAGAUCAAAGAAGACGGAGCAUUGAGGAGAAAGUCCUGCAUAUCCUGAUCCGGGCCUAGCCGUGGGCAGCAUGGCCUCAUUAAAACCAAAUCGAGCUGAUCAUCAAUUAACCUGCUUUGUUUUGCUUCUGAUUUGUAACUUGCAUCACAACAGUUCCCCACAGUUAAAAGUUUUUGCCAGAGGGGAAGGAGGCUUAUAAGGGCUGUCUUUGUGGUAAGGAGGGACGACUUUUGAUUGGUCGACUAGAGAGAAAGCAUGACCUUUACCUCUCUAAGGACUUAAUAAACAUUCAGAAGAAUUUUACAUUUUAACCUAAAUCUCCAGUCAUCGUUGUUUUUGAUGUAACAAGUGAAAAUUGAAACAAAACCAAAAAAAAAAACAGAAAUCAUCUAAACAUUUGUUUCUAAUUUUAGUCACUUGAACAAAUUGAUGUUUAUGAAACAUUAUGUUACAAAUUUAAUUACUUUCACAACAUGCUGGAAAAGAAUGCAAACAUCAAAUUUGUGACUGUUGAUCAAACUUGACUGUUGUCACUGUUUUUCAGAUGAAGAAAAUCAAAGGAAAACAUUUGAUGCAUUUUAUUUUUAUGUGAAGUAUAUAAAUAUAUUUCCUUAUAAGGUGUGUUCUGAAGGUGACUGCCUG
Cyprinodon variegatus (sheepshead minnow) is the source of this 1250-nucleotide long non-coding RNA. RefSeq lists it as uncharacterized. NCBI's taxonomy places the organism in Eukaryota, Metazoa, Chordata, Actinopteri, Cyprinodontiformes, Cyprinodontidae. The record is from RefSeq and is a predicted model, not a curated record. The transcript is spliced from 4 exons.